Centruroides sculpturatus (bark scorpion) is the source of this 1492-nucleotide RNA transcript. It is a transcript of the gene named putative RNA polymerase II subunit B1 CTD phosphatase RPAP2 homolog, with no coding region annotated. NCBI's taxonomy places the organism in Eukaryota, Metazoa, Arthropoda, Arachnida, Scorpiones, Buthidae. The transcript has 7 exons. The record is from RefSeq and is a predicted model, not a curated record.
ACAAAGGAAAAAGGGGGUCGGUUCGUCAUCACCGUUCGUGAUAGGGAGCCCUCAUCACCACCGAUCCUCUAACCCGGCAUCGCCUACCGUCUUCACCGACCGUUAUCGCCGAGGACCCCUGCCGACCCUCAUCGACGCCAUUUGUGCUCCAAGACAACUUGUCCGAUCCGUUUAGAAAACGUCCGACGCUCCGAUCCCAAAUCGUAGAGAGAAAAAGUUGAAGUGGCAAAACAGAAACAAGAAGAAUGUAAGAGAAAAGCACUGGAGAUAGUCGAACAGAUGAUUGACAAUCCCAUUUCUGAAGAUUGGUUUCUAAAAGCUUGUAAAGAUAUUCAUAGAAAUGAUUAUGAAGAUAUUAUUGUUGAAAGGUUUAUUUCAAAAUUAUGUGGUUAUCCAUUAUGUUUAAACUCUGUGUCAAAUGUUCCAAGACAGAAAUAUGCUAUCUCAACUAAAACAAACAAAGUUUAUGAUAUCACAGAAAGAAAGUAUUUCUGUUCUGCUAAAUGUUUCAAGGAAUCUAAUUAUGUAAAAGAACAAUUAUCCACAACACCAUUAUGGCUAUUAAAGGAGGAAGACAAAGUCAAUAUAGUUUUAUUUCAAGAUGUAAAAUUUUUACUUUAAAUAUGUAUUAAAAAUUUAAUGAGUUCAACAUGCUUAGUCCCUAAAAAACUGAAAAAUCCAGUCCCGUUGGACCCUCCUUGCCUAUGCUCAUAAAUUCCUGAGGCGUUGUUUGUAAUAGAAGGUCGUCUCUGCAAUGGAAGACUGUGAUUCGACAUGACGAAAAUCAAAACAUUUUAGUCUUUUCUACGUAAUUUUUAAAGAUAAUUGUUCAACUAAUUUUUCGUUCUCCCAGUCGUCGUCCACCAAAUUGCUGGGAUUCCAUCUGGAAUGUAUGCUAUUCCUAAAACUAUUUCCUUAUUUGUAAGAUCUGGAAUAGGCUACUAUAAAGCAACAAUAACUAAGCAUCAUUAAAUUUACUCAUGAUUAAAUGUAUAUGAUGAUAGAAUUAGUUAUAAUUAAAUUAUCAUAACUAUCCUUAGAAACGGUUAUUAAAAAUCAGCUUCCAUCAUUAAUCUGAAAAAUGGCACCAUUAAAGUUACGUGCAUAUGUUUAAUCGUAGAUGAUUAUUCUGUUAUAACAUAAUUUAAUAAGUUGGAUUACAUAUCGUUUAAAUGUAGUUCCUUUUGAUAUAAUCUCAGUUUAUUUCUAAUAAAUCUAACAGUCACAGAAAAAAAGGCCGAAACAGGUAGAAACUAAUUAGAAACUUGUCCAAAUUUCUAAAUAUUAAUCAUGGCUAUUAUACUUAAAUUCAGUUUCAAAUGUAUGUAAUAUAAAUAUUUUUCAACAGAUCAUCUCAUUUUAACUUAAACAAAAUAUAUAUUACAUAUUAAUACUAGUGCUAGCAAAAACCGGAAAUUUUUAAAAUUGAUUAACUGGUUUUAAAAGUUGAGUUCGGUCGAAUUAAUGUUUUAUUAUUGCAGUUUAUUAAUAU